This 508-nucleotide ribosomal RNA is filed under the name Diplodia mutila. RNAcentral describes it as "eukaryotic LSU rRNA". The stretch from base 184 to 337 matches the Rfam family "5.8S ribosomal RNA". Lineage: Eukaryota; Fungi; Ascomycota; Dothideomycetes; Botryosphaeriales; Botryosphaeriaceae. The record is from RNAcentral.
CAUUACCGAGUUCUCGGGCUUCGGCUCGAAUCUCCCACCCUUUGUGAACAUACCUCUGUUGCUUUGGCGGCUCUUGCCGCGUGGAGGCCCUCAAAAGCCCCCCCCCCCCGCGCGCUUCCGCCAGAGGACCUUCAAACUCCAGUCAGUAAACGUCGACGUCUGAAAAACAAGUUAAUAAACUAAAACUUUCAACAACGGAUCUCUUGGUUCUGGCAUCGAUGAAGAACGCAGCGAAAUGCGAUAAGUAAUGUGAAUUGCAAAAUUCAGUGAAUCAUCGAAUCUUUGAACGCACAUUGCGCCCCUUGGCAUUCCGAGGGGCAUGCCUGUUCGAGCGUCAUUACAACCCUCAAGCUCUGCUUGGUAUUGGGCGCCGUCCUCUCUGCGGACCCGCCUUAAAGACCUCGGCGGGGGCUGUUCAGCCUCAAGCGUAGUAAAAUACACCUCGCUUUGGAGCGGUUGGCGUCGCCCGCCGGACGAACCUUCUGAACUUUUCUCAAGGUUGACCUCG